CCGCACAAGCGGUGGAGUCAUGUGGUUUAAUUCGAAGCAACGCGAAGAACCUUACCAGGUCUUGACAUCCCUGACAACCCGAGAGAUCGGGCGUUCCCCUUCGGGGGACAGGGUGACAGGUGGUGCAUGGUUGUCGUCAGCUCGUGUCGUGAGAUGUUGGGUUAAGUCCCGCAACGAGCGCAACCCUCGACCUUAGUUGCCAGCAUUCAGUUGGGCACUCUAAGGUGACUGCGGCUAAAAGUCGGAGGAAGGUGGGGAUGACGUCAAAUCAUCAUGCCCCUUAUGACCUGGGCUACACACGUGCUACAAUGGGCGGUACAAAGGGUCGCGAACCCGCGAGGGGGAGCCAAUCCCAAAAAGCCGCUCUCAGUUCGGAUUGCAGGCUGCAACUCGCCUGCAUGAAGCCGGAAUCGCUAGUAAUCGCGGAUCAGCAUGCCGCGGUGAAUACGUUCCCGGGCCUU
RNAcentral lists this ribosomal RNA (461 nucleotides) under uncultured Anoxybacillus sp. RNAcentral describes it as "bacterial SSU rRNA". It matches the Rfam family "Bacterial small subunit ribosomal RNA", at positions 921 to 1382 of the family's 1533-position model. The record is from RNAcentral. Lineage: Bacteria; Bacillati; Bacillota; Bacilli; Caryophanales; Anoxybacillaceae.